GUGAGCAUGGCGCAGCUUGGUCAGCGCAUCUUCCUUGGGAGAAGAGGGUCGUAGGUUCGAAUCCUGCUGCUCGCACCA
RNAcentral lists this transfer RNA (78 nucleotides) under Caudoviricetes sp. Its description in RNAcentral is "tRNA-Pro". It matches the Rfam family "tRNA". From Rfam's summary of the family: Transfer RNA (tRNA) molecules are approximately 80 nucleotides in length. Lineage: Duplodnaviria; Heunggongvirae; Uroviricota; Caudoviricetes. The record is from RNAcentral.